This 207-nucleotide ribosomal RNA is filed under the name uncultured bacterium. Its description in RNAcentral is "partial 16S ribosomal RNA". It matches the Rfam family "Bacterial small subunit ribosomal RNA", at positions 568 to 774 of the family's 1533-position model. The record is from RNAcentral.
CGCGUAGGCGGCCCGGAAAGUCGGAUGUGAAAACCUGGGGCUCAACCCCAGGCCUGCAUCCGAUACUCCCGGGCUCGAGGCAGGUAGGGGAGAUCGGAAUUCCUGGUGUAGCGGUGAAAUGCGCAGAUAUCAGGAGGAACACCGGUGGCGAAGGCGGAUCUCUGGGCCUGUCCUGACGCUGAGGCGCGAAAGCUAGGGGAGCGAACA